RNAcentral lists this ribosomal RNA (497 nucleotides) under uncultured bacterium. Its description in RNAcentral is "partial 16S ribosomal RNA". It matches the Rfam family "Bacterial small subunit ribosomal RNA", at positions 28 to 507 of the family's 1533-position model. The record is from RNAcentral.
GACGAACGCUGGCGGCGUGCCUAAUACAUGCAAGUUGAGCGCUGAAGGUUGGUACUUGUACCAACUGGAUGAGCAGCGAACGGGUGAGUAACGCGUGGGGAAUCUGCCUUUGAGCGGGGGACAACAUUUGGAAACGAAUGCUAAUACCGCAUAAAAACUUUAAACACAAGUUUUAAGUUUGAAAGAUGCAAUUGCAUCACUCAAAGAUGAUCCCGCGUUGUAUUAGCUAGCUGGUGAGGUAAAGGCUCACCAAGGCGAUGAUACAUAGCCGACCUGAGAGGGUGAUCGGCCACAUUGGGACUGAGACACGGCCCAAACUCCUACGGGAGGCAGCAGUAGGGAAUCUUCGGCAAUGGACGAAAGUCUGACCGAGCAACGCCGCGUGAGUGAAGAAGGUUUUCGGAUCGUAAAACUCUGUUGGUAGAGAAGAACGUUGGUGAGAGUGGAAAGCUCAUCAAGUAACGGUAACUACCCAGAAAGGGACGGCUAACUACGUG